UGGUGUUCUCUCAAUGAGUUUCAUGAGGUAGUCACCGUAAAUGGUUUUCCCUUCACAGGUGUGCCAUGUCAAGGUUAAUUUGUGGAAUGUCUUGCCUUAUUAAUGGAAAAAGCAAAGGGUGGCUACUUUG
Long non-coding RNA from Etheostoma cragini (Arkansas darter), 130 nucleotides. RefSeq lists it as uncharacterized. The record is from RefSeq and is a predicted model, not a curated record. The transcript has 3 exons. Lineage: Eukaryota; Metazoa; Chordata; Actinopteri; Perciformes; Percidae.